This 505-nucleotide ribosomal RNA is filed under the name uncultured bacterium. RNAcentral describes it as "partial 16S ribosomal RNA". It matches the Rfam family "Bacterial small subunit ribosomal RNA", at positions 30 to 523 of the family's 1533-position model. The record is from RNAcentral.
AUUGAACGCUGGCGGCAUGCCUUACACAUGCAAGCCGAACGGCAGCAUGGAAGAGCUUGCUCUUCUGAUGGCGAGUGGCGAACGGGUGAGUAAAGCAUCGGAACGUACCGUGUAAUGGGGGAAACGUAGCGAAAGUUACGCUAAUACCGCAUACGACCUGAGGGUGAAAGCAGGGGAUCGCAAGACCUUGCGUUAUACGAGCGGCCGAUGUCAGAUUAGCUAGUUGGUGAGGUAAAGGCUCACCAAGGCGACGAUCUGUAGCGGGUCUGAGAGGAUGAUCCGCCACACUGGGACUGAGACACGGCCCAGACUCCUACGGGAGGCAGCAGUGGGGAAUUUUGGACAAUGGGGGCAACCCUGAUCCAGCCAUGCCGCGUGAGUGAAGAAGGCCUUCGGGUUGUAAAGCUCUUUCGGCCGGGAAGAAAUCGCACAGGCUAAUACUCUGUGUGGAUGACGGUACCGGCAUAAGAAGCACCGGCUAACUACGUGCCAGCAGCCGCAGUAA